Molecule: long non-coding RNA, 456 nt
Organism: Podarcis raffonei (Aeolian wall lizard)
Lineage: Eukaryota; Metazoa; Chordata; Lepidosauria; Squamata; Lacertidae
Exons: 3
Source: RefSeq, a predicted model, not a curated record
CCCCCGGCAUAUCCAUUUCCUGAGCGCAACCCCCUUCCUUCCUCUGUUACGAGAGUGGCUGGGCCCCGGAAGUAGUUGCCCCUCUCAGAUUCAUUCCCUCCUGACAGCCCUUCGUCACCUUCCUCGUCCAAGGAAGAACAGCUGCUAAUUAAAGGAGCCUGAUCUCUUCUGAGUGUGGGAAGGCGAAGGCAGUUCAGUUGUAAACAGACCCCAGCCACUCCAGUCUGAGAGCAUGCAACCCCCACUCCAAGCAACAGAAACCCACCUGGGCAGGAAGACUCUAGAAACACCUGUUCAAUGAAAUUGGAGAACUCAGCAUCUCAGCCACGCACUGGAAGCCAACGGCAGUAGAAGCUCAGCUCAGCGAUCCUGAACAAGCAAGUUGCUUGCGUAGGUUCUCUCUCUGGGACCAGAGAGGAAAGUUCUCGGACUGCAAUUAAGGACUGAAAGGAUGGA